ACCACUGCUGCUACUUAAUGACCAUUCGGCAGUGCAGUGUAUCGUGCUUGUCUUUAGGUUGGGUUUUUGGUGAUCUUCAGGAUGGUUUCUCAGAGUCAGAGUCUCUAAUGUGUUGGGGUCUCUGGCUGAGCGUGAGCAGGCACGUGCAGAAGGGUUCACCCUAUCAUGGCUCAGCAGAAACUACAGAGGUUUGAACACUUUCACCCUUCACUGGCCUAGUAACUGGCUGUUUGAAGGCAUGGGUGCCCAAUCCUGGUCCUAGAGAUCUCCCACCCUGAUCUAUCACACCUGAUCCAGGUAAGGCAGGCCUUCAGGUGCAUCUGAAUAUUGCAACUAUCUCCUAGACCAGGAUUGGACAGGCCUGUUCUACUGGAGUACUGUGGAAAGAAUACUUCACUUACACUGACAGUGGAACACUGCAGGGGGAUGGAGAUGGAGAUUCAGGCUCUGGAGAUCCUGCAGCUGUAGUGUUGAAAUGAGGAGAAAACGUGAAGGGAACCUGGCUGACCCAAGUGCGUGUCAAUAUUGCAUAAUUCUGCAGCGUCUGACCAUGAGCUCACAGACCCUACCAGUUCAAUGCCUCCUGGAUUCUUCAUCCCUGAAUAAAAUUCGGUUGUCUUGAA
Molecule: long non-coding RNA, 623 nt
Organism: Pygocentrus nattereri (red-bellied piranha)
Lineage: Eukaryota; Metazoa; Chordata; Actinopteri; Characiformes; Serrasalmidae
Exons: 5
Source: RefSeq, a predicted model, not a curated record